CGGCUAAUUACGUGCCAGCAGCCGCGGUAAUACGUAUGGGGCUAGCGUUGUUCGGAUUUAUUGGGCGUAAAGGGCACGCAGGCUGUUUGUUAAGUUUGUGGUUUAAUCUUCGGGCUCAACCCGGAGCAUGCCAUGAAAACUGGCAGACUUGAGUAUCAGAGGGGAAAGCGGAAUUCUCGGUGUAGCGGUGGAAUGCGUAGAUAUCGAAAGGAACACCAGUGGCGAAGGCGGCUUUCUGGCUGAUUACUGACGCUCAUGUGCGAAAGCGUGGGGAGCAAACAGGAUUAGAUACCCU
Molecule: ribosomal RNA, 295 nt
Filed under: Isochrysis galbana
Lineage: Eukaryota; Haptophyta; Isochrysidales; Isochrysidaceae
Description: partial Bacterial small subunit ribosomal RNA
Rfam family: Bacterial small subunit ribosomal RNA
Source: RNAcentral